Molecule: ribosomal RNA, 497 nt
Filed under: uncultured bacterium
Lineage: Bacteria
Description: partial 16S ribosomal RNA
Rfam family: Bacterial small subunit ribosomal RNA
Source: RNAcentral
GAUGAACGCUGGCGGCGUGCCUAAUACAUGCAAGUCGAGCGAACAGACGAGGAGCUUGCUCCUCUGACGUUAGCGGCGGACGGGUGAGUAACACGUGGAUAACCUACCUAUAAGACUGGGAUAACUUCGGGAAACCGGAGCUAAUACCGGAUAAUAUAUUGAACCGCAUGGUUCAAUAGUGAAAGACGGUUUUGCUGUCACGUAUAGAUGGAUCCGCGCCGCAUUAGCUAGUUGGUAAGGUAACGGCUUACCAAGGCGACGAUGCGUAGCCGACCUGAGAGAGUGAUCGGCCACACGGGAACUGAGACACGGUCCAGACGCCUACGGGAGGCAGCAGUAGGGAAUCUUCCGCAAUGGGCGAAAGCCUGACGGAGCGACGCCGCGUGAGUGAUGAAGGUCUUCGGAUCGUAAAACUCUGUUAUUAGGGAAGAACAAAUGUGUAAGUAACUAUGCACGUCUUGACGGUACCUAAUCAGAAAGCCACGGCUAACUACGUG